RNAcentral lists this ribosomal RNA (2899 nucleotides) under Klebsiella pneumoniae. RNAcentral's name for it is "23S ribosomal RNA". It matches the Rfam family "Bacterial large subunit ribosomal RNA". The record is from RNAcentral. Lineage: Bacteria; Pseudomonadati; Pseudomonadota; Gammaproteobacteria; Enterobacterales; Enterobacteriaceae.
UUAAGCGACUAAGCGUACACGGUGGAUGCCCUGGCAGUCAGAGGCGAUGAAGGACGUGCUAAUCUGCGAAAAGCGUCGGUAAGGUGAUAUGAACCGUUAUAACCGGCGAUGUCCGAAUGGGGAAACCCAGUGCAAUUCGUUGCACUAUCGUUAACUGAAUACAUAGGUUAACGAGGCGAACCGGGGGAACUGAAACAUCUAAGUACCCCGAGGAAAAGAAAUCAACCGAGAUUCCCCCAGUAGCGGCGAGCGAACGGGGAGCAGCCCAGAGUCUGAAUCAGCUUGUGUGUUAGUGGAACGGUCUGGAAAGUCCGACGGUACAGGGUGAUAGUCCCGUACACCAAAAUGCACAGGUUGUGAACUCGAAGAGUAGGGCGGGACACGUGGUAUCCUGUCUGAAUAUGGGGGGACCAUCCUCCAAGGCUAAAUACUCCUGACUGACCGAUAGUGAACCAGUACCGUGAGGGAAAGGCGAAAAGAACCCCGGCGAGGGGAGUGAAAAAGAACCUGAAACCGUGUACGUACAAGCAGUGGGAGCACCUUCGGGUGUGACUGCGUACCUUUUGUAUAAUGGGUCAGCGACUUAUAUUCUGUAGCAAGGUUAACCGUAUAGGGGAGCCGCAGGGAAACCGAGUCUUAACUGGGCGUUAAGUUGCAGGGUAUAGACCCGAAACCCGGUGAUCUAGCCAUGGGCAGGUUGAAGGUUGGGUAACACUAACUGGAGGACCGAACCGACUAAUGUUGAAAAAUUAGCGGAUGACUUGUGGCUGGGGGUGAAAGGCCAAUCAAACCGGGAGAUAGCUGGUUCUCCCCGAAAGCUAUUUAGGUAGCGCCUCGUGAAUUCAUCUUCGGGGGUAGAGCACUGUUUCGGCUAGGGGGUCAUCCCGACUUACCAACCCGAUGCAAACUACGAAUACCGAAGAAUGUUAUCACGGGAGACACACGGCGGGUGCUAACGUCCGUCGUGAAGAGGGAAACAACCCAGACCGCCAGCUAAGGUCCCAAAGUCAUGGUUAAGUGGGAAACGAUGUGGGAAGGCACAGACAGCCAGGAUGUUGGCUUAGAAGCAGCCAUCAUUUAAAGAAAGCGUAAUAGCUCACUGGUCGAGUCGGCCUGCGCGGAAGAUGUAACGGGGCUAAACCAUGCACCGAAUCUGCGGCAGCGACACUAUGUGUUGUUGGGUAGGGGAGCGUUCUGUAAGCCUGCGAAGGUGUGCUGUGAGGCAUGCUGGAGGUAUCAGAAGUGCGAAUGCUGACAUAAGUAACGAUAAAGCGGGUGAAAAGCCCGCUCGCCGGAAGACCAAGGGUUCCUGUCCAACGUUAAUCGGGGCAGGGUGAGUCGACCCCUAAGGCGAGGCCGAAAGGCGUAGUCGAUGGGAAACAGGUUAAUAUUCCUGUACUUGGUGUUACUGCGAAGGGGGGACGGAGAAGGCUAUGUUAGCCGGGCGACGGUUGUCCCGGUUUAAGCAUGUAGGCUGGUUGUCCAGGCAAAUCCGGAUAAUCAAGGCUGAGGUGUGAUGACGAGGCACUACGGUGCUGAAGUAACAAAUGCCCUGCUUCCAGGAAAAGCCUCUAAGCAUCAGGUAACAUUAAAUCGUACCCCAAACCGACACAGGUGGUCAGGUAGAGAAUACCAAGGCGCUUGAGAGAACUCGGGUGAAGGAACUAGGCAAAAUGGUGCCGUAACUUCGGGAGAAGGCACGCUGGUGUGUAGGUGAAGUCCCUGCGGAUGGAGCUGAGACCAGUCGAAGAUACCAGCUGGCUGCAACUGUUUAUUAAAAACACAGCACUGUGCAAACACGAAAGUGGACGUAUACGGUGUGACGCCUGCCCGGUGCCGGAAGGUUAAUUGAUGGGGUUAUCCGUAAGGAGAAGCUCUUGAUCGAAGCCCCGGUAAACGGCGGCCGUAACUAUAACGGUCCUAAGGUAGCGAAAUUCCUUGUCGGGUAAGUUCCGACCUGCACGAAUGGCGUAAUGAUGGCCAGGCUGUCUCCACCCGAGACUCAGUGAAAUUGAACUCGCUGUGAAGAUGCAGUGUACCCGCGGCAAGACGGAAAGACCCCGUGAACCUUUACUAUAGCUUGACACUGAACAUUGAGCCUUGAUGUGUAGGAUAGGUGGGAGGCUUUGAAGCGUGGACGCCAGUCUGCGUGGAGCCAACCUUGAAAUACCACCCUUUAAUGUUUGAUGUUCUAACGUUGGCCCCUGACCGGGGUUGCGGACAGUGUCUGGUGGGUAGUUUGACUGGGGCGGUCUCCUCCUAAAGCGUAACGGAGGAGCACGAAGGUUAGCUAAUCCUGGUCGGACAUCAGGAGGUUAGUGCAAUGGCAUAAGCUAGCUUGACUGCGAGCGUGACGGCGCGAGCAGGUGCGAAAGCAGGUCAUAGUGAUCCGGUGGUUCUGAAUGGAAGGGCCAUCGCUCAACGGAUAAAAGGUACUCCGGGGAUAACAGGCUGAUACCGCCCAAGAGUUCAUAUCGACGGCGGUGUUUGGCACCUCGAUGUCGGCUCAUCACAUCCUGGGGCUGAAGUAGGUCCCAAGGGUAUGGCUGUUCGCCAUUUAAAGUGGUACGCGAGCUGGGUUUAGAACGUCGUGAGACAGUUCGGUCCCUAUCUGCCGUGGGCGCUGGAGAAUUGAGGGGGGCUGCUCCUAGUACGAGAGGACCGGAGUGGACGCAUCACUGGUGUUCGGGUUGUCAUGCCAAUGGCACUGCCCGGUAGCUAAAUGCGGAAGAGAUAAGUGCUGAAAGCAUCUAAGCACGAAACUUGCCCCGAGAUGAGUUCUCCCUGAGACUUUAAGUCUCCUGAAGGAACGUUAAAGACGAUGACGUUGAUAGGCCGGGUGUGUAAGCGCAGCGAUGCGUUGAGCUAACCGGUACUAAUGAACCGUGAGGCUUAACCU